UACGUAGGGUGCGAGCGUUAAUCGGAAUUACUGGGCGUAAAGUGUGCGCAGGCGGCCGCGCAAGUCGAGUGUGAAAUCCCCGAGCUUAACUUGGGAAUUGCGCUCGAAACUACGUGGCUGGAGUGUGGCAGAGGAAGGUGGAAUUCCACGUGUAGCGGUGAAAUGCGUAGAGAUCAUGAGGAAGACCAGUGGCGAAGGCGGGUCUCUGGGCUGACACUGACGCUCAUGCACGAAAGCGUGGGGAGCAAACAGG
This 253-nucleotide ribosomal RNA is filed under the name uncultured bacterium. RNAcentral describes it as "partial 16S ribosomal RNA". It matches the Rfam family "Bacterial small subunit ribosomal RNA", at positions 524 to 776 of the family's 1533-position model. The record is from RNAcentral.